CCUACGGGGGGCAGCAGUGGGGGAUAUUGCACAAUGGGGGGAACCCUGAUGCAGCGACGCCACGUGGGUGAAGGAGGGCUUCGGCAUGUAAAGCCCUAUCGGCAGGGAAGAAGCAAGACGGUACCUGACUAAGAAGCCCCGGCUAACUACGUGCCAGCAGCCGCGGUAAUAUGGAGGGGGCGAGCGGCAUCCGGAUUCACUGGGGGUAAAGGGAGCGUAGAUGGUUUGUUAAGUCAGUUGUGAAAGUUUGCGGCUCAACCCCGGGCUGCCGGUGAAACUGGCGGCCUCGAGUGGGCGAGAAGUAUGCGGAAUGCGUGGGGUAGCGGUGAAAUGCAGAGAUAGCACGCAGAACUCCGAGUGCGAAGGCAGCAUACCGGCGCCCGACUGACGCUGAGGCACGAAAGCGUGGGUAUCGAACAGGAUUAGAUACCCCGGUAGUC
RNAcentral lists this ribosomal RNA (440 nucleotides) under uncultured bacterium. Its description in RNAcentral is "partial 16S ribosomal RNA". It matches the Rfam family "Bacterial small subunit ribosomal RNA", at positions 338 to 795 of the family's 1533-position model. The record is from RNAcentral.